GUGAAUCAAACAAUGUGGACAGUCUUUUUCAAUCAUCAAUGGCUCUUUAUCUAAACCAAGUUCACAAAAAUUAAUAGUGAUAUAUAUAAAGCACACACCUUCACUUUGGUAGCAUAUAUAUAAGACUCAUGGUUAUUUCUUAACUCAGCCGUUCUUCUUCUUUACCUUAUUUUGUUCAUGAAACAAUAACAAGUCUUAAGAUUCAGAGAAGCAGCAAUCCAUUACCUUAACGGAUGAAAUGAAUGUCAUCCAUUUAGGAAUUGAUUCUCGUUCCGAGUAGAGUCCAUAAGCUACUGAUACAUGCACUUCUACCUUCAUCUUUACUCUAAAAUAUAAAAUUCAAAAUCCCUAAUCGACCAACAACAAAUUCCCAAAAUUAAAUCAUGAUAAUCUGCAGAAAAGUAGUAGAUUCUUACCAAUUACAAGAUUUCUUGAUCGAAGACUCUCAUUCGAUCCUCAAUCGAUCUCCAAAUUGAUUUCUCUCCACAGCCAUCUGUUUUGUCUUAAGAGAGAGAUGGUAAAAGAAAAGAAACGCUGGAGAUUUUUUUUUUUUUGUGGCCAAAAAUACAAACCAAUUACAGAGUGACACGUCAUCGUCU
Molecule: long non-coding RNA, 599 nt
Filed under: Arabidopsis lyrata
Lineage: Eukaryota; Viridiplantae; Streptophyta; Magnoliopsida; Brassicales; Brassicaceae
Description: long non-coding RNA (ALYR_LNC000725)
Source: RNAcentral